RNAcentral lists this ribosomal RNA (463 nucleotides) under uncultured bacterium. Its description in RNAcentral is "partial 16S ribosomal RNA". It matches the Rfam family "Bacterial small subunit ribosomal RNA", at positions 339 to 795 of the family's 1533-position model. The record is from RNAcentral.
CUACGGGUGGCAGCAGUGGGGAAUCUUGCGCAAUGGGCGAAAGCCUGACGCAGCAACGCCGCGUGAGCGAAGAAGGCCUUCGGGUUGUAAAGCUCUGUCAGGGGGAAAGAAGGCACCUGGGUUAAUAGCCCAAGGGCUGACGGUACCCCCAAAGGAAGCCACGGCUAACUACGUGCCAGCAGCCGCGGUAAUACGUAGGUGGCAAGCGUUGUCCGGAAUCAUUGGGCGUAAAGCGCGCGUAGGUGGUUUGUCAGGUCCGAUGUGAAAUCCUGGGGCUCAACUCCAGGCGUGCAUUGGAAACCGGCUUACUAGAGUCUGGGAGAGGAGAGUGGAAUUCCUGGUGUAGCGGUGAAAUGCGUAGAUAUCAGGAGGAACACCAGUAGCGAAGGCGGCUCUCUGGAACAGUACUGACGCUGAGGCGCGAAAGCUAGGGGAGCGAACAGGAUUAGAUACCCUCGUAGUC